CCUACGGGAGGCAGCAGUGGGGAAUUUUGGACAAUGGGCGAAAGCCUGAUCCAGCAAUGCCGCGUGAGUGAAGAAGGCCUUCGGGUUGUAAAGCUCUUUUGUCAGGGAAGAAACGGUGAGAGCUAAUAUCUCUUGCUAAUGACGGUACCUGAAGAAUAAGCACCGGCUAACUACGUGCCAGCAGCCGCGGUAAUACGUAGGGUGCAAGCGUUAAUCGGAAUUACUGGGCGUAAAGCGUGCGCAGGCGGUUUUGUAAGUCUGUCGUGAAAUCCCCGGGCUCAACCUGGGAAUUGCGAUGGAGACUGCAAGGCUAGAAUCUGGCAGAGGGGGGUAGAAUUCCACGUGUAGCAGUGAAAUGCGUAGAGAUGUGGAGGAACACCGAUGGCGAAGGCAGCCCCCUGGGUCAAGAUUGACGCUCAUGCACGAAAGCGUGGGGAGCAAACAGGAUUAGAUACCCUGGUAGUCCACGCCCUAAACGAUGUCUACUAGUUGUCGGGUUUUAAUUAACUUGGUAACGCAGCUAACGCGUGAAGUAGACCGCCUGGGGAGGUACGGUCGGUCGAGAAGUUAAACGUAACUUAAAUUAGUAAGUUAGACGGCGUGAGACGNGCCGACGGACGACGACGAGGGAGGAGG
Molecule: ribosomal RNA, 636 nt
Filed under: uncultured bacterium
Lineage: Bacteria
Description: bacterial SSU rRNA
Rfam family: Bacterial small subunit ribosomal RNA (bases 1-542)
Source: RNAcentral